RNAcentral lists this ribosomal RNA (576 nucleotides) under uncultured bacterium. RNAcentral describes it as "bacterial SSU rRNA". It matches the Rfam family "Bacterial small subunit ribosomal RNA", at positions 338 to 916 of the family's 1533-position model. The record is from RNAcentral.
CCUACGGGAGGCAGCAGUAGGGAAUAUUGGACAAUGGACGCAAGUCUGAUCCAGCCAUCCCGCGUGAAGGAUUAAGGCCCUAUGGGUUGUAAACUUCUUUUCUUUGGGAAUAAAAAGCGGUAUUCAUAUCGCCUUGAAGGUACCAGAGGAAUAAGCACCGGCUAACUCCGUGCCAGCAGCCGCGGUAAUACGGAGGGUGCAAGCGUUAUCCGGAUUCACUGGGUUUAAAGGGUGCGUAGGUGGCUUUGUAAGUCAGCGGUGAAAGCCUGGAGCUCAACUCCAGAAUUGCCAUUGAUACUGCAGAGCUUGAAUCAAGUUGAGGUGGAUGGAAUAUUACAUGUAGCGGUGAAAUGCUUAGAUAUGUAAUAGAACACCGAUUGCGAAGGCAGUUCACUAAGCUUGUAUUGACACUGAGGCACGAAAGCGUGGGGAUCAAACAGGAUUAGAUACCCUGGUAGUCCACGCCCUAAACGAUGCAAACUCGACAUUAGCGAUAUACAGUUAGUGUCCAAGCGAAAGCGUUAAGUUUGCCACCUGGAAGUACGACCGCAGGUUGAAACUCAAAUGAAUUGACGG